Molecule: ribosomal RNA, 301 nt
Filed under: uncultured bacterium
Lineage: Bacteria
Description: partial 16S ribosomal RNA
Rfam family: Bacterial small subunit ribosomal RNA
Source: RNAcentral
CAGCAGCCGCGGUAAUACGUAGGUGGCAAGCGUUGUCCGGAAUUAUUGGGCGCAAAGCGCGCGCAGGUGGUUUAAUAAGUCUGAUGUGAAAGCCCACGGCUCAACCGUGGAGGGUCAUUGGAAACUGUUAAACUUGAGUGCAGGAGAGAAAAGUGGAAUUCCUAGUGUAGCGGUGAAAUGCGUAGAGAUUGGGAGGAACACCAGUGGCGAAGGCGGCUUUUUGGCCUGUAACUGACACUGUGGCGCGAAAGCGUGGGGAGCAAACAGGAUUAGAUACCCCGGUAGUCCCUGUCUCUUAUAA